CAGCUGCCCGCUUGCCCGUAGCUGACUCAGCUCCCUCAUCUUCAUCUCCAUCCUCUUCCUCACCAUCACCUUCUUCCUCCCCACCUUCUUCCUCUUCUUCAUCUACCUCGUUGUCAGCCUCCGGCUCCCCAUUUUCCUCAUUAGCAUUCCCGUGAGCAGGGGCGUCUCUUCCAUUUUCCGCCUCUUCCACAACUUCCUUCUUCUCCUUUAAGUCCUCGGUGGUGAUUUCGGAGCUGGUGUCUACGGCUGCGUCUGACAUGGUGGGGCACGCCGGUGACGCGAUGCAGGGGAUAAAAAAGAAAGCGACAGUUCAGGGACUCUGGCGAUAAAGCUGCCGGAGUCCGCGGCGGCGGAGGCGGCUGCGGCGAGCAAGGAGGCUGACGACGCACAAUGCAAAGACGGCUUUUCAGAGCAGCCAGUGGGGCAGGACAAUGUUUUUCAUCAAAUGUCCUUAGAUUUGGAGGAGGUUUCCCCAGUGUAUCCAGUGGUUGUCUUCCUCUUGAUUAAUAUUAAAGGAGGAGAAAAAGUGUGUAUUGGGGUCAGUGCAGAAAACAAAUCAUCCAAGCACACGAAGUGGAAUUUGCUAAUAGCAUUACUACUCACCCAGUGACUUCGGAGUCACAACCCAGGACACGGUUUUCCGCCCAUUUCUACAGACACAGUGAGAUUCUUCAUUCUUCUCUGUUGGAACAGCCAGGAAAGCGGAAGAGACCUCCAGCUGCACAACGACCUGUCCCCCACACCCAACCACAAGUUUAUGAAGGGAUGCAGAACAGCAUGAAUACUGCAAAAGAUGCUCUGUGCAUCAGAACGUCCAGAAGAGAGAGAUUUAAAUUGCUUUCAGCUAAGCUGUAGACCUCUAGCAGAUGAACGACAUAUUUUCCUGAAGGACUUGCUUCGGUGUGGAAGUGAUUCCGCUGUGAGUUGUGUCUUUUGCGUUGUUGCACUCUUCAUCAUAUUCAUCCGCAGGACCUCCAGCUCUAAAGGGUGUGAAGAGGAUACUGACCCACCAGAAAGAGACCCCACUGCUAGAACGAAUAAGAUGUGCUGAAAGCCGGAGCAUAACUUGGCCAUUCCCAAGAUUUAACAACAAACUAACUACCCAUCAUUAACAGUAAAGAAAGAAAACAAUCAGUAAGAGAUUAUAUAGACCUAAGAGAUGUUACAGACCGAAGAAGAACCUAUGGAGGAAGACAGGAAGAUGAGAGAGAUUUGAAGAUGGUAUGUGGCUGAAUUUGAAGAUAGAGAAAGGAACCGCAAGCAAAGAAUGCAAGAGGUCUCUAGAAGCUGGAAAAGGCAAGGAAAGAGUCUCCCCUCAAGCUCCAGCAGGAAUGCAGUCCUGACACCUUGAGUUUAGCCUAGUGAGACUUCUGACCUCCAGAACUAGAAGAUACAAGUGGUGUUUUAAGGCACUAAAACGAAGAACUAGAAGUAUUGUUUUAAGCCCAUAAAUUUGUGAUAAUCUGUUACAGUAGUAAUAGGCAAUGCAUACACAAGCACACAAAGUAAAAUUUUUCUGUGGUUAUUUUCCAUAUUUUUUCAGUUAUUUUCUGCCUUUUGAAGACAUUAAAGACAUAAAAUGAAUAUGUAUUAGUUUAGGAAUAAAAUUUAAAAUGUAGGAAUGCUAUAAAAGAAGAAAAAAUUUUAACUGGGCUAAAGCAAACCCAGUAUGUCAUCCUAUUACAUCAGCUUCUUCAUCUUUGGAUGAAGAGGUUGGUGACUGUUUCUUCUAAUGUGAGAAUAGCUCCAAAUUGCUAAAUUGUUCAGAAUUUGACAAGAUGAAAGAGGAAAGAAAAAGGAAAUCUUGAAAACAUUUACUGUUUCCUUGUUCAAUGGAUAACACAUGGAUUCCUGAUUGGGAGAUUUUUCCUCUUGCUUUGAUCUGAAGGCAGAAGGAAAUAUAUUCAUUAUUGUUUAAAAGAAUACAUUUUAACCUAACUUUAAAACAUUCAUGAUAUAUUUGUGAACCAUAAUCUUAUUACCCCAACCUAGAAGUUAUUUUGAUCACUAAACUUCCUUUUCAAUAUCUUCAUAUAUGUGUCUUUACAUACUUUAAAUAAAAAAUAUAUAAUUGUAUAACGUUUUAUUAUUUUAUUUAAUAUUUAUCACUUCUAAUAAAUAUAUGUAAAUAUGUAAACAGAAUUUAUGUAUUUUUUCAACAAACAUUUCAAACAUCUACCUUAUGCAAAGCAAUAUAUAGUGAAGGCAGAUAUAAAGUAUAAAUAAGUAUUCUCUAAUAUUGCCUCUAUUUUAAAAAAACUAAAUGUAUUGAGCAUUCUCUAUAUGCCAGGAACUGAACUAAGUAAUUUACUGUUAAUUUACACUAUAAUUCCAUGAAGUAGGUAUUAAUAUUAUCUCCAGGACUAAAGUGAGAUGAUUGACAUUUCUCUUUCCAGAUGAAAUUAGGUAAGUUAUCCAAGGUCAUGUAUCUAGGAAGCAAUAAAUCUAGGAAAUUCAAAUUUAUUGUUAAUUUUUCUAUUUUUUUAUGGAAUUAAGAAAAUGUUAUUUAUAGUUAAUGCUCUUAUACAGAAUUCCCUAUAUUUAACUUUUUCUUCUUAAAAUGACUUAUUUGAGUAACUAUGAGCCUUGGACAUUUUCAAUUUGGGGGCAUUCGUGGGAAUAUUGGCCUCAAAAGUAUCACUCCAAUUUAUAGUCUGCCUGUUAAUAUACCUUUUCCUUGCAAUCACACCAGUCAUGAGCUUUGUAAAAUAAUUAGAAUUGAAUAUUUUUCCAGAAGAUUGUUUAUAAGUUUUAUUUCCUUUUGAAUGAGUUCAUGGUUCUUAGCUUUUGCUUCUUUAUCUACUGAGUUCUAAGAAAACAUUUUCUCUUUGACUAAAAACAUUUUAUCCUAGGCUCUUUCCUCUCCUGCUCAAUAAGUUGCCAUUGGAACUCUGCAAGGAAAAAUUCUAAAAGUUUCAGUGGUGAAUAGAGCAUAAAUGAGAAAUUAAAGCAUUAAUAUUUGUUAGGAAGUAACUUCUCUUCUAGCACAAAAACAAUACAAAAUAUAUUAUUGUUAUCUUAUAAAUGGCAUUACUUAGACAGGAACCCAGCAAUUUUGGAGUCUACACAAUCAGAAGGAGCUACAGUGGGUCUUAUUCUUACCAAAUAGUAGAAGGUUAAUUCUUUUUCAUCCCUGAGAAUCUGUUUAUUCAGAAUGUAGUGUGCUUGAAUCUCCUGGGUUUGUCCACAGGUCAAAGUACCAAUAAUAGGUUUGAGGUGAAUAUAACUCUUGCUUGGGGAAAAAAAAUGCUUUGCAGUAUGAGAUGUUUGCGUAUGAAAUUCAUCAAGCCACCAGUUAUCAGAACAAUUGUUACUCUCUUUGUAUUUGACCUAAUGGAAGAAUAAAUAAGCUGUUUUAUAUAUAAUAUAUAUAUGAUUGCAAAAAUAUAUAAAAAUAUGCAUAUUAUAUAUGUUUGUAUAUAUAUACAUAAAGCAAUAUAAUAAAGCCAUAUAAGAAGGCUGCUUUCUUAAAUA
This 3474-nucleotide long non-coding RNA is filed under the name Homo sapiens (human). Its description in RNAcentral is "long independently transcribed non-coding RNA 987, transcript variant 3 (LINC00987)". The record is from RNAcentral. Lineage: Eukaryota; Metazoa; Chordata; Mammalia; Primates; Hominidae.